Molecule: non-coding RNA, 253 nt
Filed under: uncultured bacterium
Lineage: Bacteria
Also listed under: 2 other names
Description: partial 16S ribosomal RNA
Rfam family: Bacterial small subunit ribosomal RNA
Source: RNAcentral
UACGAAGGGGGCUAGCGUUGUUCGGAAUUACUGGGCGUAAAGGGCGCGUAGGCGGUCCUGAUCGUCGGAUGUGAAAGGCCUGGGCUCAACCUGGGAACUGCAUCCGAUACGGCGGGACUGGAGUGUGGGAGAGGUUGGUGGAAUUCCCAGUGUAGAGGUGAAAUUCGUAGAUAUUGGGAAGAACACCGGUGGCGAAGGCGGCCAACUGGACCACAACUGACGCUGAGGCGCGAAAGCGUGGGGAGCAAACAGG